GGAAAGAGCCACUAGUGGUCGAGUGGCAGCUCAAGGCGGCAGAGGCGAGCGACCCGGCGCAAACAGCGCGCGGAGGCGGGCGCCGCGGCGGCUCAAAGUGCAGUGGAGGCUGGAACAGCAGCGGCCGCGUGACGGGGCGGCUCGCGGAACGCUGCGACGGCUAGAGGGCAAUGCCGGCGGGUCAGCUUUGAGGCGAAACACGGCUGAGGAGAGGCGGUUCGGAGCGGAGGGAAGCGCGUGGGAGCGUCCCGGCAACACGGCUCGCUCGAGGUGGCCCCGGUAUAGCAAGGCGAGUUGGAGCCACAGGAUAUGAUCCGGUGAGUCAGCAGGCUCGGGUCCAGGCGAGGCGUAGCAAAAGUAGGCUCGGAGUGGGUGUGGAUGCGUAGUUGGGGCGCGCACGCUGCUAGCUACGAGCAAGUCUAGUAGAACCCUCAAACCUUUAAAAAUAACCGUUUUUUUUAUAGUUUUCGUCGAAAAAACAGCGUAGACUAGAAUCUUUAAACCCUUAAACCCGUAAAAAACUUUAAAAGUCCAACCCGCAAACGUCAUCGCAGCCUGUAGAAGUGAGGGUUGGGGGGAUAAACUCCCCCCAACCUGCACUCCUCUUCCUCUCCAGCACGGGAGGGAAGUUUCAGCNNNNNNNNNNNNNNNNNNNNNNNNNNNNNNNNNNNNNNNNNNNNNNNNNNNNNNNNNNNNNNNNNNNNNNNNNNNNNNNNNNNNNNNNNNNNNNNNNNNNNNNNNNNNNNNNNNNNNNNNNNNNNNNNNNNNNNNNNNNNNNNNNNNNNNNNNNNNNNNNNNNNNNNNNNNNNNNNNNNNNNNNNNNNNNNNNNNNNNNNNNNNNNNNNNNNNNNNNNNNNNNNNNNNNNNNNNNNNNNNNNNNNNNNNNNNNNNNNNNNNNNNNNNNNNNNNNNNNNNNNNNGCCGCCCCGCCCCGGCCGUCCUCCGCCGUCGCCGCCCCGCCCCGGCCGUCCCUCUGUCUCCGCUGCCCCGGCUGCCCCGUCCGCAGCGUCGCCCCUGCCGCCCCGUCCGCAGCGCCGCCCCGCCCCCGCCGUCCCUCCCAGCGUCGCCGCCCCGGCCGGCCCUCCGCAGCACCGAAGAUUGAGGUUUACAUUUUUGCUUUUUUGCUUCAUUUUUACAUUUUUGCUUCAUUGGCACUCACAAUUGUUGCCACUCACAUUGUAGAUGAAGGUGAACAACGACGACAUGGACUCGUUGUCCGAUGCCUCGGAUUGGUCGUCAUCCGACGAUUCGGACAUUGACGAGUUGUUGCAAGACGACGAUGUUGAGAUGAUGAGCCUCCUCGUCGACGUGCAAGCGUUUGAAGACCGCGUGAAGCUUAUGGAUCAGAGGAGAGGGUCGACGAUGGGGCGACUCACCAUCUACCGGAACCGUGCUCUCGGACACGAGCAUUUGAUGCAAGACUACUUCGCGGAGGUACCUACAUACCCUCCUCGUCUCUUUCGCAGAAGGUACCGAAUGCGUCGUAGUUUGUUUGUGAAGAUUGUCAACGAUUGUGAGGCUGCCUCCUAUUACUUUAAACGUCGUANNNNNNNNNNNNNNNNNNNNNNNNNNNNNNNNNNNNNNNNNNNNNNNNNNNNNNNNNNNNNNNNNNNNNNNNNNNNNNNNNNNNNNNNNNNNNNNNNNNNGGAUCCGCCGCCGGUAUCAUGGGGUUUAGUGCAUAUCAAAAGAUAUCGGCGGCAAUGCGGGUACUCGCUUAUGGCAUACCUGCGGAUUAUACCGACGAGUAUCUUCACAUUGGGGAAGAUACAACCACGGAGUUCGUCCGUAGGUUUGCCAAGUUGGUCAUCCGGUUGUAUGGUGAGAAGUAUCUUCGGGCACCAAACGAGGAAGAUACAAAGAGAUUAAUUGAAAUGAAUGAAAAAAGGGGAUGGCCGGGAAUGCUUGGUAGUCUUGAUUGCAUGCAUUGGAGGUGGAAAAAUUGCCCAAAGGCAUGGCACGGAAUGUAUUGCGGUAAAAGCCGUGAUGCUACCAUUGUGCUUGAGGCCGUAGCAUCGGAGGACACAUGGAUUUGGCAUGCAUUCUUUGGGUUGCCGGGAACACUCAAUGAUAUCAAUGUCCUCAAUAGAUCUCCGUUGUUCAAAAGAUUAAUUUCUGGGGAUGCUCCAGCUUGCAACUACAAAAUCAUGAACAAUGAGUAUUCAAUGGGAUACUAUCUCACCGAUGGCAUCUAUCCCAAAUGGGCAACUCUUGUGAAGUCCAUCAAGGAGAAAAAUGGGGUGCCCUUAACAAGAAAAGAGGCACAAGAGGCAGCCCGCAAAGAUAUUGAGAGAGCUUUUUGUGUUUUACAAGCAAGGUUUGCCAUAGUUCGGGGUCCAGCUCGGUUUUGGGACAAAAAAACCUUGGUGAACAUCAUGAAAUGUCGUGUGAUUCUACACAACAUGAUCCUAGAGGAUGAGAGAGGGUUAAACCUCCCUUGUUUCUAUGACAAUGUUGGUACCCGUGUGCAACUGGAAAGAAACCCUUCUCGCAUACACGCCUUUCUUCAAGCACAUCAUGAGAUUGAGGAUGCAACCACUCAUGGUCGUCUCCGGGAUGAUCUAGUAGAGCACCACUGGAAGUUGGAUGGGCGGCGUAUUGGCCCAUGAUGUAUCUUUGUUUUACUUUUCUAUGUCCUAUUUGAUUCGAACAAUUGUUGUUAUUUGCUCAAACAUUGUUGUAAUUAUUUGAAUGAUUAUUGGUUUAUUCGGUGUUGUAAUAAUAACUAGAAUGAUUAUUGUUUUAUGUCAAAUGUGAUUGAAUUUGUGAUAUGUCAUAUGAUGAAAUGUGUGAUAUAUGAAUGAUAGUUUUAAGGUUUAGGGUUGGGGCAAAGACUAGGACCCUCAAACCCAACCCUUAUAACGGAAUAUUCCGUUAUAAGGGUUGGGUUUGAGGGUUCUAGCCUUUGCCCCUGUUUUUCAACCCUUAAAAGUGUCAAAAAUGUGCAAUUCUCUACUCUUAAAACUGGUUUUUGUUUUAAGGGUUUGAAGGUUCUACUAGAGAUGCUCUAAGACUGUCUCAGGAUGGAGGUGUGGCGCUGCAUGAGGGAGCCACUGCCAUAACAGCGUUUUGGCGAGCGGGGCGAGUUGAAUCCUGCUCGCGGUGGAGGUGAGGCCAGGUAGGCUCGAGGUGAAUCACGGCGGUGUAGACCGAGUCCGUGCGCCAUGCUUCUUGCCAUCCGUUGUUUUAAUCCACCUCUUGUGUCUGUGUGUUAUCUAGACUAAUAGUAGUACUUGUUGCUCCUGAUUUGACUCUCUCUUGUACUAGUGGAACUACUCCUACUUUGGAGUUGAUUUAUCCUUGCCGUAGCAAUGCGAUCUGACCGCCGAACUUUUAGUUUUCAUCCGACGUAUUCUGAAGUAUUUUGGUGCCGCCUGAAAAAAUUCUUGUCCCCGCGACAAAACCAUUGGAUUCCGCAUGAGGGCUCAUAUCAAUGCCCCUCUUCAUGUUGUCCCUAUAACUUUUCACUUCUUAACUGAGUAAUUUAAAGUCGACAUAGAUUCUUCUGUACCGACACUUCUUCACUUGGAAAAUUGCAAAGUUCCCGAUCCCUUGGAAAGCUCCCUCCAAUGACACAAUACCACCGUGCUAUUAGCCCCAUGGUGGGUGUCAAAUGUCGUGGUUUUGUCACGGCAUAUGUCCUCGGGAAAGAACUUAGGUGUGGAGCCAUCGCGGCCAUGUGGCAUCUUGAGAGUGGUUGGACGGAAUCAAUAGGCGCGAGUUUACCCACGUCUGCCCCCUACGAUGGUGGUAAAAGCCUACAUCCUGCUUGUGUUUCAUUGCUAAAGAUGAUGAUCUCGAUUACAAGGGUGCGGAAUCGCUACCUCUAAUCUCGAGGGUGACUAAUCUCUCUAUCUCUAAUGACUUGACCUUAUGAAUAUGUCCCUCUUGGGGCACCUUACCCCUCCUUAUAUAAGUGGAAAGGGGUAGGUUUACAUGUAGAGUGCUACUAGGAGUAGGACUAGGACUAGUUCUCUCUAAAAUCCUAAUCCUGGUCUUGUUUCUUUUGUGAGGGAGUAUCUCCUCUUCUUGGACCUUCUCUGUGAGUCGGCCCUCCCAAGAGUCGCCUUCUAGGCCAUUGGGUCUCUGUCUUUGUCAGAGUCGCCUAUCGGGUGAUCCAUGAGUCGCACUCCAGAUCACUAAUGAGUCGCGAGUGAGUCUCUGAGUCCUAGCCGGGUCAUAAUUCAAGUCGGGUUACACCAUGGGGUAUAUCCCCGACAAGGUGUGAGUGCAUAGUCAUUAAUUCAGAGGGGCGUUGAUAUUAAGAGAUGUUAAAACUUAUUGAACAUCUGAAAAAUUAAAAGGGUGUGGUGAUGAUGUGUGAGCAUUUCUAUUCCUCGUUGAAAACCUAGUGUUGUUUCGGGUCGGAGUCGCGUGAUGGUUAAUUCCUACCAACCCUCUCCCUCGGGGCAUGCGAGUAGUACUUUGAUCUGUGAUAAAACUAAUAAAACUUUGCAAUAAGUAUAUGUGUUCUUUAUGACUAAUGUGACACGAUGGACAUACACAAUCUCACCUCCUCAUAUUUGCUAGCCUCUCUAGUACCGCGCAUAGCCUAUUCUCACACAUGGAUUGGUGCAACUUUCGCUGGUGCAUCCAAAUCCCGUGACAUGAUACGUUCUGUUGCACAUAAGCCUUAUUAUAUCCUCCUCAAAACAGCCACCAUACCUACCUAUUAUGUCAUUUUCAUAUCCAUUCCAAGAUAUAUUGCCAUGCAAAUUCCAUCGUCACUUCACAUGACUAGUUCAUUCAUCAUCAUAUUGCUUUGCAUGAUCAUAUAGAACUGACAUAGUAUUUGUGGCAAAGCCACCAUUCAUAAUAGCAUUGUGACAAAGACACCAAAUAUCAUAUGCUGAAUACAUGUCAUGCUAGACCAUUGCACAUCCUGGUACAUUGCGAGAACCAUUCACAUUGGAGUCAUGUUGCUUCAUUCAUCCUAUCGAGUUAUCCACGAGUUGUAAGUAAACAAAAGUGUGAUGAUCAUCAUUAUUAGAGCAUUGUCCUAGUGAGGAAAUAAAGAUGGGGGAGGCCAAAUGAGUCCACCAUAAUAAUAAAAUGAGAGAAAAAGAGAGAAGGGACUUUGCUACUAUCCUUUACCACACUUGUGCCUCAAAGUGUUACUAUGUUCAUCAAGUAGAGAGUCUCAUGUUAUAUCAUUCUUAUGCUAGUGGGAAUGAAAAAAAUUGUAAAUUUGCUUGUAUAUUCCGAUAACGAGCUUCCUCAAAUGCCCGAGGUCUUCAUGAGCACGCAAGUUGGAUGCACACCCCACUAUGCUUAAGUGGAGUUUUCAUACACUUAUAGCUCUUGUGCAUCAUUUGCAUGGCAAUCCUUACUCCUUGUAUCAAUAUGUAUCAAUGGGCAUCUCCAUAACCCGUUGGUACGCCUAGUUAAUACGAGACUAUCUUCUCCACCUUUCAACCCCUUUGAAACCUAUCACCUUACUCUAUUCCACUUAUAUGAUAUAUGUCCAAUUGUUCACGCUCAUGUACUGCGUGAAGAAUAAAACGUUGAUGCAUAUUGAAAAGGUACGACCCGAUUGCUUGACUUGGGCACCGUGGUGCUUGACAUUUGUAGUUAUGUGGUGAAUAUGGAGCCAUGCCUUGCUAAUAUAAUAAAUAUGGAAAGGGUUGAAACAAUCUUUGAGGAUAGUACACUUUGAAAAAUUAACUGUUUUGCUGCUUAUACUUAUAAUAUUGGCGUGUUAAUAUCUGUUAAUUCAUCAUUUCUCAAUGAGCAUACCUUCAUAAGAAUACAUCAUACAUAGCAUGUCACAUCCAAAAUUCUGUUUUUAUCACUUCCUAAUGUGUCACUGAAAGCACAUAUGCUCCCUUGGUGGUUUUGAUAAUUCAUGACAACAUACAUUAUCUCUUGGACUAACAGUUUUACCUAGUAUAUUUCAGGUUUAGUCCACAGAGAGCUUUGGCUAUAGGAUUGAGUUGAGAAGCCCCUUGGUGAAGGAAGGAAUAGGAUUGGCUAAAGCUUCAAGCAAGAAGACUCUUCAUUUUACACUUUGUGCGAAAUCACAUUUUAGUCCAUAGGAAAGCCAAUACUAUUAAAAGGGGAUGAGGUGUUAUGAUGAAUUGGUUGCUCAAGUGCUUAGAGUUAGCCACCAAAAAUACUCAACCACUCUUACACAAAAUAUAUCUAUCCCAAACCAAAUAUCCAAAAUCGGUGCCAGCAACAUUUAUCACUCGGGCCUACUGAUUUUAGACUUGACAGAUCCAAGCCAAACCCUACCUUUUCGGUGCAACUGAAACUGCAUCGGUGCUACCGAGUUUAGGUACACAAAAUCGGAAUUUCCGAGUUUGAGUAUCGGUGUCACCAAGUUGUGUCAUCUAGCCGUUAGUCACCUUUUUAGUUCUACCGAGUUGUGUAUAUCGGUUCCACCGAGAUUCAAAGGUGCUACCUUUUUAGUAAGUCGAUACCAUCGAGUUUGUAACUUCGAUGUCACUGAGUUGCUCAAUUAUGAUGUAACGGUUGGAUUUUGGAGGUUGCCUGCAUAUAACCCUCCACCUACCUCUCACUCGUAGACGAAGCACUUAGAACACACACUUCAUUGCUAGACCCAUUUUGUGAGAGAGAGCCACUUACUCAUGUGUUGAGAUCAAGAGAUUCCAUUCCAACCAUUUGAACCUUGAUUUAUAGCCUCUGCAAGUUUCUUUCCGCAAGAUCAAUCUCUCCUGCCCCUGCCAAAUCUGAGAGAGAGUGAUUGAGUGCUGAGGAGACUAUGUUUAGAAGCACAACAGCAAGGAGUUCAUCAUUCUACCACAUCUAUUACCUUUUGGAGGGUGGUGCCUCCUAGAUUGGUUAGGUGUCGCUUGGGAGCCUCCUACUUCGUGUUGUGGAGUUGAACAAAGAUGUUUGUAAGGGCAAGGAGAUCGCCUACUUCGUGAAGUUCUAUCAUGAGUGAGGCUAGUCCUUUAUGAACAGAAGUCAUGGUGGAAUAGACAAGGCCGAUUCUUCGUGGACCCCUUGUGGGUGGAGCCCUCCGUCGACUCCUGUAGCCAUUACCCUCCAUGGGUUGAAGUCUCCACUAACAUGGACGUAUGAUAGUGCCACCUAUCGGAACCAUGCCAAAAAUCGUCGUGUCAACUUCUUUGUGUUUGAUCUUCCUAAACUCUACUCCUUACUACAUGUGCAAAGUAUUUACUUUUCGCUGCCAUAUUUGUUGACUAGAAUGUGUGGGGUGCACUAGACUUGUUAGAAUCGCUAAAAUUUACCAACCAUUAAAUUGGGAAAAGACUAGGAUUUUCUUUUAUGCAAGUAGUUUAUUCACCCCCCUAUAGAUACCUCUUCUAUCGAUCUCUCAAUUGGUAUCAGAGCAAGGUCUCCACAACCUAGGUUUAAACACCAUUGGAGGAAGAUGAAUGUGCCUAGUGUGGGGAAAAUUAAUUAUAGAGUGCCUAUUCUUGAUGGGGAAUAGUUACGUGGAUUUAUUUGGGAUUAUAUAAAAAAUAUUGGUCGAAAGAGGUACCGGAGGGGGGCUGCCAGGGCGCCACAAGCUCUGCCACCGCCACCCCCUGGUGGCUGAGUGGGGGCUUGUGGGCUCCCUGACGGCCCACUAGCUCCCCCCUUUUGCUAUAUGAAGGGUUUUUGUCCAGAAAAAAAUCAAUCGGGAGCUUUUUCGUGGUUUCGCCGCCGCCACGAGGCGGAAGUUGAGCAGAUCCAAUCUAGAGCUCCGGUAGGACGAUCCUGCCGGGGAAACUUCCCUCUCGGAGGGGGAAAUCGUCCCCAUCGUCAUCACCAACACUCCUCUCGUCGGAGGGGGGGGCAUCUUCAUCAACAUCUUCAUCAGCACCAUCUCCUCUCCAAUCCUAAGUUCAUCUCUUGUAACCAAUCUUUGUCUCGCAACUCCGAUUGGUACUUGUAAGGUUGCUAGUAGUGUUGACUACUCUUUGUAGUUGAUGCUAGUUGGAUUACUUGGUGGAAGAGUUUAUGUUCAGAUCCUUGAUGCUAUUCAUUACACCUCUGAUCAUGAUUAUGAUCAUGCUUUGUGAGUAGUUACUUUUGUUCCCGAGGACAUGGGAUAAGUCAUGCUGAUAAUAGUCAUGUGAAUUUGAUAUUCGUUCGGUAUUUUGAUAUGUUGUAUGUUUUCUUUUCCUCUAGUGGUGUUAUGUGAACUUCAACUACAUAACACUUCACCAUAUUUGGGCCUAGAGGAAGGCAUUGGGGAGUAGUAAGUAGAUGAUGGGUUGCUGGAGUGACAGAAGCUUAAACCCCAGUCUAUGCGUUCUUCGUGAGGGGCUGAUUUGGAUCCACUAGUUUAAUGCUAUGGUUAGACGUUGUCUUAAUUCUUCUUUUGUAGUUGCGGAUGCUUGCGAGAGAGGUUAAUCAUAAGUGGGUUUCUUGUCCAAGUAAGGGCAGUACCCAAGCGCUGGUCCACCCACAUAUCAAACUAUCAAAGUAACAAACGUGAAUCAUAUGAACAUGAUGAAACUAGCAUGACAGAAAUUCCCGUGUGUCCUCGGGAGCGUUUUCCCUCCUAUAAGACUUUGUUCAGGCUUGUCCCUUGCUACAAAAGGGAUUGGGCCACUUGCUGCACCGUUGCUACUACUUGUAACUUGUUACUUUUUGCUUGCUACGUUUCACCUCGCUACACAAUCACUUGUUACCGCUACUUUCAGUGCUUGUAGUUAUUACCUUGCUGAAAUCCGUUUAUCAGAGCCUUCUGCUCCUCGUUGGGUUCGACACUCUUACUUAUCGAAAGGACUACGAUUGAUCCCCUAUACUUGUGGGUCAUGAAGACUCUUUUCUGGCGCCGUUGCCGGGGAGUGAAGCGCCUUUGGUAAGUGGAAAUUGGUAAGGAAACAUUUUUAUACUGUGCUGAAAUUUAUUGUCAAUUGUCACUAUGGAAAUUGUUCUUUUGAGAAGUUUGUUCGGGGUAUCUUUACCAAGAACGGAAGCACGAGGAGUUGUUCCUCAACCUGAGGUACCUACUGAAAAUAUCUUUUAUGAAAUUCCUUCGGGUAUGCUUGAGAAACUGCUGGCUAAUCCUUUCACAUGAGAUGGAUCUUCACAUCCAGACUUGCAUCUGAUCUAUGUAGAUGAAGUUUGUGGUUUAUUUAAGCUUUCAGGUUUGCCUGAGGAUGAGGUAAAGAAGAAAGUCUUUCCUUUAUCUUUGAAUGAUAAGGCGUUGACAUGGUAUAGGCUAUGUGAUGAUACUGGAUCAUGGGGCUACAAUCGGUUGAAAUUGGAAUUUCAUCAAAAGUUCUAUCCUAUGCAUUUAGUACAUCGUGAUCGGAACUUUAUUUAUAACUUUUGGCCUCGUGACAGGGAAAGCAUAGCUCAAGCUUGGGAGAGGCUUAAAUCAAUGCUAUAUUCAUGCCCCAAUCAUGAGCUCUUGAGAGAAAUCAUCACUCAAAACUUUUAUGCUCGGCUUUCUCAUGAAGAUCGUACCAUGCUUGAUACUUCUUGUACCGGUUCUUUUAUGAAGAAGGAUAUUGAUCACAAGUGGAAUUUAUUGGAGAGAAUCGAACGCAACUCUGAAGAUUGGGAGCUGGAGGAAGGUAAGGAGUCAGGUAUGAAUUUCCAGUUUGAUUGCGUUAAAUAUUUUGUUGAGACAAACACUUUUAGAGAUUUUAGCGCUAAGUAUGGACUUGACUCUGAGAUAGUAGCUUCUCUAUGUGAAUCUUUUGCUGCUCAUGUUGAUCUUCCCAAGAGAAGUGGUUUAAGUAUCAUCCUCCUGUAGAAAGCAACAUAGCCAAAACCAAUCUAGUUGAGGAGAAAGUCAUUGCUUUUAGUGAUCCUGUUGUUCCUUGUGCUUACACUAAGAAACCACCAUACCCUGCUAGGAUAAAGGAUUAUUGUAAAGCUCCAACUGUGAUACGUAGGGGUUACAUUAGACCACUUGCACCCCCUGAGGAGAUUAGAGUUGAACCUAGUGUUGCUAUUAUCAAAGAUCUCUUAGCCGAAGACAUAGAUGGGCAUGUUAUCAAAUUCUGUGAGGACUCCGCUAGAAUUGCUAAACCUCACGCGAAAGACAAAUACGGACAUGUAGUUGGCCUGCCCGUUGUUUCUGUCAAGAUAGGAGAUCACUGUUACCAUGGUUUAUGUGAUAUGGGAGCUAGUGUUAGUGCAAUACCCCGUUCUCUAUAUGAUGAAAUCAAAGAUGAGAUUGCACCUGCUGUGUUAGAACCCAUUGAUGUCACUAUUACGCUAGCUAAUAGAGACACUAUCUGCCCUCUGGGAAUUGUGAGAGACGUAGAAGUCCUGUGUGGUAAGACGAAGUAUCCUACUGAUUUCCUCGUCCUUGGUACUGCACAAGAUAGCUUUUGUCCCAUCAUAUUUGGUAGACCCUUUCUCAACACUGUCAAUGCUCACAUUGAUUGCACUAAGCAGACCGUCACUCUUAGUUUCGAGGGUGUGUCUCAUGAAUUUAACUUCUCCAAGUUUGGAAGACAACCCCACGAAACAGAGUCGUCUGGUAGGGAUGAAAUCAUUGCUCUUGCCUCUAUUACCGUACCUCCUACGGAUCCUUUAGAGCAAUAUCUGCUUGAGCAUGGAAAUGAUAUGCAUAUGGAGGAGAGAGAUGAGAUAGAUAAAAAUGUCUUAGAACAAUAUCCUGUUCUCAAGAAUAAUCUGCCUGUUGAACUGCUUGGGGAUCCUCCCCCACCAAAGGGUGAUCCUGUGUUCGAGCUUAAACAGUUGCCUGAUACUCUUAAGUAUGCCUAUGUUGAUGAGAAGGAGAUAUAUCCUGUUAUUAUUAGUGCUCUCCUCUUAGAGCACGAAGAGAAGAAGUUACUAAAAACUCCGAGGAAGCAUCGUGCUCCUAUUGGAUAUACUCUUGAUGAUCUUAAGGGUAUUAGUCCCACUCUAUGUCAGCACAAGAUUAAAACCGAUCCUGACUUUAAACCAGUUUCUUAUCAUCAAAGGAGAUUAAAUCCUAAGAUGAAAGAGGUCGUUAGAAAAGAAAUAUUAAAGCUUCUCGAGGUAGGAAUCAUUUAUCCUGUUGCUCAUAGUGAUUGGGUAAGUCCAGUACAUUGCGUACCUAAGAAGGGAGGUAUCACCGUCGUUCCUAAUGAUAAGGAUGAACUAAUCCCACAAAGGAUUAUUAUUGGCUAUAGGAUGGUGAUAGACUUCCGGAAACUGAACAAGGCAACAAGGAAAGACCAUUAUCCUUUGCCGUUCAUCGACCAAGUGCUAUAAAGGCUAUCAAAACACACACACUUCUGCUUUCUAGACGGUUAUUCAGGUUUCUCGCAAAUACCUGUUGCACAAUCUGAUUAGGAGAAAACCACUUUCACCUGCCCUUUCGGUACAUUUGCUUAUAGAUGUAUGCCCUUCGGCUUAUGCAAUGCACCUGCCACUUUCCAAAGAUGUAUGAUGGCUAUAUUCUCUGACUUUUGUGAAAAGAUUGUAGAGGUUUUCAUGGAUGACUUCUCCAUUUACGGGUUUUCCUUUGAUGAUUGCCUUAACAACCUUGAUCGAGUCUUACAGAGAUGCGAAGAUACCAAUCUCGUCUUGAACUGGGAGAAGUGCCACUUUAUGGUUAAUGAAGGCAUCUUCUUAGGACACCAAAUUUCUGAAAGAGGCAUUGAAGUUGAUAAGGCUAAGGUUGAUGCAAUUGAGAAAAUGCCUUGCCCCACAGGUAUCAGAGGUAUACGAAGUUUCCUAGGUCAUGCUGGUUUCUAUAGAAGGUUCAUUAAAGACUUCUCUAAGAUUUCUAGGCCUCUUACCAACCGUCAUGCAGAAGGAUCUUCCUUUUGUCUUUGAUGAGGAUUGUGAGGAAGCUUUCGAAAUACUUAAGAAGGCUUUGAUAACCGCACCUAUUGUUUAACCACCUGACUGGAACUUGCCCUUUGAAAUCAUGUGUGACGCUAGUGAUUAUGUUGUUGGUGCUAUUCUAGGACAGAGAGUUGACAAGAAGUUGAAUGUUAUUCACUACGCUAGUAAAACUCUAGACAGUGCCCAAAGAAACUAUGCCACUACGGAGAAGGAAUUUUUAGCAGUCGUGUUUGCAUGUGAAAAGUUCAGAUCUUAUAUAGUUGACUCCAAAGUCACUAUUCACUCUAAUCAUGCUGCUAUUAAGUACCUUAUGGAGAAGAAGGAUGCUAAGCCUAGGUUGAUCAGAUGGGUUCUCCUGCUACAGGAAUUUGAUUUACACGUCGUUGACCGAAAGGGUGCUGAUAACCCUGUAGUAGAUAACUUGUCCAGGCUAGAGAAUGUCCUUGAUGACCCACUACCUAUUGAUGACAGCUUUCUUGAUGAGCAAUUAAAUGUCAUCCGCACUUCACAUAGUGCACCGUGGUAUGCCGAUUAUGCAAACUAUAUUGUAGCCAAAUACAUACCACCCAGUUUCACCUAUCAGCAAAAGAAGAAAUUCUUCUUUGAUUUUAGACACUACUUUUGGGAUGAUCCUCACCUUUAUAAGGAGGGAGUAGAUGGUGUUAUUAGAAGUUGCGUACCUGAACAUGAACAUGGACAAAUCCUGCAGAAGUGUCAUUCCGAAGCCUACGGAGGACACCACGCUGGAGAUAGAACUGCCCAUAAGUUGUUGCAAUCAGGGUUCUAUUGGCCCACUCUCUUCAAGGAUGCCCGUAAGUUUGUCUUGUCUUGCGACGAAUGCCAAAGAAUAGGGAAUAUCAGUAAGGGCCAGGAAAUGCCUAUGAACUAUUCACUUGUCAUUGAACCAUUUGAUGUCUGGGGCUUUGAUUAUAUCGGACCCUUCCCGAGUUCCAAUGGGUAAACUCACAUCUUAGUUGCUGUGGAUUACGUCACUAAGUGGGUAGAAGCUAUCCCCACUAAAAAUGCUGAUCACCACACCUCUAUUAAGAUGCUUAAGGAAGUCAUUUUCCCAAGAUUUGGAGUCCCUAGAUAUUUUAUGACUGACGGCGGUUCACACUUCAUUCAUGGUUUUUUCCACAAGAUGCUCGCUAAGUAUGAUGUCAAUAGUAGAGUUGCAUCUCCUUAUCAUCCUCAGUCUAGUGGUCAAGUGGAGUUGAGUAAUAGGGAGAUCAAGUUGAUCCUACAGAAGUCCAUCAAUAAAUCUCGGAAGAAUUGGUCUAGCAAACUUGACGAUGCACUAUGGGCUUAUAGGACUGCUUAUAAGAUUCCCAUGGGCAUGUCACCGUAUAAAAUGGUUUAUGGUAAGGCCUGUCAUUUACCUCUUGAGCUGGAACACAAAGCUUAUUGGGCAAUCAAAGAGCUCAACUUUGAUUUCAAACAUGCCGGUGAGAAGCGGUUGUUUGAUAUCAGCUCGUUAGAUGAAUGGAGAGCCCAAGCAUAUGAGAAUGCCAAGUUGUUCAAGGAAAAGGUUAAGAGAUGGCACGACAAACGAAUACGGAAACGAGAGUUCAAUGUAGGUGAUUAUGUCCUGCCAAACGAAUACAGAAACGAGAGUUCAAUGUAAGAUUCUUCGCAGGCAAGCUUCUCUCUAAAUGGUAAGGUCCCUAUGUUAUCGAGGAAGUAUAUCGUUCCGGUGCCAUCAAAAUCAAUAACACGGAAGGAAAUUUUCCUAGAGUAGUAAAUGGGCAAAGAAUCAAGCAUUACAUCUCUGGUACUCCCAUAAAUGUUGAGACCAAUAUCAUCAAUGUCAUAACUCCAGAGGAGUACAUAAGGGAUGUUUAUCAGCCUGUUUUAGACCCUGAAAACGAAGCAGUGUCUGUUUCGGAAAGCAAUUGGACUCCGAUGCUUUUCCAAUAGGAAAUUUCCACCGUUUUGGAAUUUUUGGAAAAUUAGAAAAAUAAAAAGCAGUCCGGAGAGCGCACGAGGCGGCCACAAGCCCUGCCACCGCCCCUACCCCCUGGUGGCGGAGGGCAAGCUUGUGGGCACCUCGUGUGCCUCCCGGACUCUGUUUUCUUGUGGAGCACUCCUUCUGGUCCAGAAAAAAUCAAUAUAUACUCGCCCGAAGGUUUUGAUCUCCGUAUCGCGCAGUUUUCCUCUAUUUUUGUUUCGAGCUUGUUUCUGCCGCAGAUCUAGGUCAAGAUGUCUUCUCAGGAUUCAGAGGGGGAGAGCUAUGUGGCUGACUACCUUGCUAACCCCAAGGUCUAUGGGGACUUGGAACCAUAUGGCUGGACCACUGAUGAGGAAGAGGACUAUGAGCCCAAAGGGAAGGAGCAAACGAGUUCCGAUGAAGAGGAGGCUCCUCUACCUCAACCUACAAACACCCAUGUGGAGUUCAAGAAGUCAAACCUCCCUGACCAUAGGAAGAAGCCUAAGACCUUGUUUAUCCCUUGUUGUUUCUUGCACGAGAGUAAGAAGGAACUUUGCCAUAGAGUGUUGAAACUUGAGGAGGAAAAUGACGAUCUAAGGGAGCAAAACUUUUUUGCUCAAGUGGAAAUUAGACAAGCUCAAGACUGCUUCAACAAGUCCACCACCAUCACCAUCGAAGGAAGACAACUAAGCAUUGGUAUGGGCAAUCCCCUUGGCUUCUUCCAUGCUUGGGGGAGUUGCCCUGGUAUCAUAUCACCUUUAUAUCUUUUGCUUUUACCUUUGUUUUAGUUCUUUCCUUUUCAGUUUUUAUUUCUUCUCUUAGAGAAAUAAGUCUUUAGUGUUUAGUUUGAGUCUUUUGCUUUUGUCUCUCCCCCGAUGUAUUCGAGCUUAUGAGCUAUAUAAUAAAGAGUAUCUUAGUCAAGGGCUUUGCUUUGUGCCCUGAUCAAUAGUAUGAAAAGAACGAUAUCAUGAAAGAUCAUGAGACGAUCUUAUGGAAAGUGAUAGCUUCACAUAUGACACGUAUGAUGAUUGAAACUUGUUGAGAAUAAAUCAACACAAACCUCAGUCAUUGUUGCAAUUAAUAGGAAGUACUAAGGAAAGAGAGGUUCACAUAUAAAUAUAUCAUCUUAGACACUUCUUACAAUUGUGAGCACUCACCAAACUAUUACAUGCUUAGGAGUAGAUGUUGGACAAGGAAGACAACAUAAUGAAUUGUGUUUGCUUGGUUCCAAACAAUGUUAUAUGAUUAGAGAUCCCUUAGCAUGUGACGAUUGCUUCCACCUCAUAUUAGCCAAAACUCCCGCACCAAGUAGAGAUACUACUUGUACAUCCAUAAACCUUCAACCCAGUUUUGCCAUGAGAGUCCACCAUACCUACCUAUGGAUUGAAUAAGAUCCUUCAAGUAAGUUGUCAUCGGUGCAAGCAAUAAAAAUUGCUCUCUAAUAUGUAUGAUCUAUUAGUGUGUGGAAAAUAAGCUUUGUACGAACCUGUGAUGAGGAAGACAUAAAAGCAACAGAAUGCAUAAUAAAGUUCUUUAUCACAGGAGGCAAUAUAAAGUGACGUUCCUCCACACUAAGAGGACACGCAUUCAAACCUCAAAAGCGCAUGACAACCUCUGCUUCCCUCUGCGAAGGGCCUAUCUUGUACCUUUAAUUUUUACCCUUGUAAGAGUCAUGGUGAUCUUCACCAAUUCCCUAUUUUUGCCUUUGUCUUGGCUACCGUCACAUGCUUGGGAAAGAUCUAUAUUCAUAUAUCAACUUGGAGUUGAGUACUUAUGCUUUAUUAUUGUUGACUUUACCCUUGAGGUAAAUCGUUGGGAGGCAAAAACUAUAAGCCCCUAUCUUCCUCCGUGUCCAGCUGAAUCUUUGACACCAUGAGUACCACGUCAGUUGUAUCAAAUGUGGAAAACAAAGAGAUGAUUGAGUAUGUGGGUUUGCCUCACAAGCUCUUAUAUGACUCUUUCUGAUGUUGUGAUAAAUUGCAAUUGCUUCAAUGACUUUGGACUGUUGUUGGUUACUUCUCGGUAAGGUUUUUGCUUCAUGCUUUGCUUUGUGAAGGAAUUGUUACUUUCCCAUAAGAAUCUUUAUGAUGUAUUGCUGUCUUAUGUGUGAUCAUGAUGCCCUCAUGUCCGUAUUAUGUUUUAUCGUCACCUUCGUCCCUCAACAUGUGGACAUGUUUAUGGAACUUGGUUUUCGCUUGAGGACAAGCGAGGUCUAAGCUUGGGUAGUUGAUACGUCCAUUUUGCAUCAUGCUUUCAUGUUUAUAUUUAUUGAUUUAUGGGCUGUUAUAUUACUUUGUGGUACCAUAUUUAUGCCUUUUCUCUCUUAUUUUGCAAGGUUUAAUUGAAGAGGAAGAAUUCAGGCAGCUGGAAUUCUGGACUAGAAAAGGAGCAAAUCUUAGUCCACUAUUCUGCACAUCUCCAAAUGCCCUGAAAAGUUACGUGGAUUUUUUUGGGAUUUUAUAAAAAAUACUGGGCGAAAGAAGUACCGGAGGGGGGCUGCCAGGGCACCACAAGCCCUGCCACCGCCACCCCCCUUAUGGCGGAGUGGGGGCUUGUGGGCUCCCUGACGGCCCACUAGCUCCCCCCAUUUGGUAUAAGAAGGGUUUUUGUCCAGAAAAAAAAAUCAAUCAGGAGCUUUUUCGUGGUUUCGCCACCACCACGAGGCGGAACUUGAGCAGAUCCAAUCUAGAGCUCCGGCAGGACGAUCCUGGCGGGGAAACUUCCCUCCCGGUGGGGGAAAUCAUCGCCAUCAUCAUCACCAACACUCCUAUCGUCGGAGGGGAGGCAUCUUCAUCAACAUCUUCAUCUGCACCAUCUCCUCUCCAAUCCCUAGUUCAUCUCGUGUAACCAAUCUUCGUCUCGCAACUCCGAUUGGUACUUGUAAGGUUGCUAGUAGUGUUGAUUACUCUUUGUAGUUGAUGCUAGUUGGAUUAUUUGGUCGAAGAGUUUAUGUUCAGAUCCUUAAUGCUAUUCAUUACACCUCUGAUCAUGAUUAUGAUCAUGCUUUGUGAGUAGUUACUUUUGUUCCUUAGGACAUGGGAUAAGUCAUGCUGAUAAUAGUCAUGUGAAUUUGAUAUUCGUUCGGUAUUUUGGUAUGCUGUAUGUUGUCUUUUCCUCUAGUGGUGUUAUGUGAACGUCGACUACAUAACACUUCACCAUAUUUGGGCCUAGAGGAAGGCAUUGGGGACUAGUAAGUAGAUGAUGGGUUGCUGGAGUGACAGAAGCUUAAACCCCAGCCUAUGCAUUGCUUCGUGAGGGGCUGAUUUGGAUCCACUAGUUUAAUGCUAUGGUUAGACGUUGUCUUAAUUCUUCUUUUGUAGUUGCGGAUGCUUGCGAGAGAGGUUGAUCAUAAGUGGGAUUCUUGUCCAAGUAAGGGCAGUACCCAGGCGCCGGUCCACCCACAUAUCAAACUUUCAAAGUAACGAACGUGAAUCAUAUGAACAUGAUGAACUAGCAUGACAGAAAUUCCCGUGUGUCCUCGGGAGCGUUUUUCCUCCUAUAAGACUUUGUUCAGGCUUGUCCCUUGCUACAAAAGGGAUUGGGCCACUUGCUGCACCAUUGCUACUACUUGUUACUUGUUACUUUUUGCUUGCUACGUUUCACCUUGCUACACAAUCACUUGUUACCGCUGCUUUCAGUGCUUGCAGUUAUUACCUUGCUGAAAUCCGUUUAUCAGAGUCUUCUGCUCCUCGUUUGGUUCGACACUCUUACUUAUCGAAAGGACUACAAUUGAUGCCCUAUACUUGUGGGUCAUCAACUUCCAAGUCUUUCGUAGUGACAAUUAUAACAUGGUCUUUACUGGCAUCCGUAGAGGCGAUCUAUACAUUGUCGAUUUCACUAAAAAAUCCAAACCCCGUAAUUGUUUAUAGCAAAAUCUUCUAAAGGUUGGUUAUGGCAUAGAAGGUUAGGACAUGUAGGUAUGCAUAACCUUGACAAGCUUAUCAAAAGGUGAUCAUAUUCUUGGUGUUAGAGAUUUUAUGUUUGACAAAGAUAGACUUUGUAGUGCUUGUCAAGCAAGAAAGCAAGUUCGUGGAAGUCAUCCCAUGAACAACAUCAUGACCACAAGAAGGUCACUUGAGCUGCUUCACAUGGAUCUUUUUGGUCCCAAUACUUACAAGAGCCUGCGUGGAAAUUCUUAUGGUUUAGUCAUUGUUGAUGAUUUUUCCAGAUUCAUGUGGGUAUUCUUUCUUGAUGAUAAGGUGCAGGUACAACAAAUCUUCAAGAACUUCGCUCGGAAAGCUCAAAAUAAGUUUGAAGUGAAGAUCAAGAAAGUUCGAAGCGACAACAGAACGGAGUUCAAUAACACAAAUGUGGAUACUUUCCUUGGCGAAGAAGGUAUCUCACAUGAGUUCUCGGCAACGUACACACCUCAACAAAAUGGAGUUGUUGAGAGGAAGAACCGGACUCUCAUAGAGAUGUCUAGAACGAUGCUUGACGAAUACAAGACUCCAAGACACUUUUGGGAAGAAGCCAUGGAAACAACUUUCCAUGCGAUAAAUUGACUCUACUUACACAAGCUUCUUGGUAAAACAACAUAAGAUAUACUCACCGGUAACAAACCCCAAGUUGGGUACUUUCGAGUAUUCGCCUCUAAGUGCUACAUUCUUGAUAAGCAUCGUCGCGCCAAAUUUGGUCCUAAAUCUCGUGAAGGUUUCCAACUUGAUUACGGAUCAAAUUCUCACACUUACCAUGUCUACAACAACUUCACUAGGAAAGUUGAAGAGACCGUAGAUGUGAAGUUUGAUGAAUCUAAUGGUUCGCAAGCCGAAUAAUUGCCAAAUGAUGUAGGAAAUAAGGAACCUACGGAAUCCAUUCAAGACCUACCUAUCGGCAAGAUUCGUCCCAUGGAUGUGAAGGAAAGUACUUCAUCAAUUCAAGUGGAAGCUCCUACUUCACGUCAAGGUAAACCACAAAAUGACAUGGAGGCGUCCACAAGCGGUACACGAUAUGAUGAAAUAGGAAGAAGUACAUCAUGAUGAUCCACCUCAACCAUCCUCACCACCACCUCAAGGAGUUGACACCAUCAACGACAACAUGCAAGAUGAUGAUGAUUAAGAAGCUCCAUCAUCCAACAAGAAGAAGCUGUCACGAGUUUGAGCAAGAGUGGACAAAAGAUCAUCCGCUGAAUCAAAUCUUCGAUGACAUACAAACCGGGAGAAGCAUUCACUCUAAGUCUCGUUUAGCUAACUUGUGUGAGCAUUAUUAUUUCAUCUCUAAAAUUGAGCCUUUGAAGGUAGAAGAAGCCCUUCAAGACCCAGAUUUGGUGAAUGCCAUGCACAAAGAGCUACACAUAUUUAAGAGAAAUUAAGUGUGGACAUUUGUUGAAAAGCCCGAAGGCGAGCAAAACAUAUUUUCUACAAUAUGGGUGUUUUGAAACAAGCAAGAUGAAGAUGGACAAGUUGUACACAACAAGGCGCGUCUCAUAGCCCAAGGAUACACGCAAGUCAUAGGUAUGAAUUACGGUGAGACUUAUGCCCCUGUUGCUGGACUUGAAGCCAUUCACAUUCUUCUCGCUUAUCCCAAUCACCACGAUAUUACUCUUUACCAAAUGGAUAUCAAAAGUGCUUUUCUAAAUGGUGAAAUAGAGGAGGAGGUUUAUGUGAAACAACCUCCCGGAUUUGUGAACCCUAAGAAAGCUAAUCAUGUUUACAAACUUCAUAAAGCUUUAUAUGGUCUUAAACAAGCCCCUAGAGCCUUGUACAAAUGUCUAAGGAAGUUUCUUAUUCAGAAGGGUUUUCGAAUUGGUAAAAUUGAUGCUACCUUAUUCACUAAAAGAGUUAAUGGUGAACUAUUUGUAUGCCAAAUAUAUGUGGAUGAUAUUAUAUUUGGUUCUACUAACCCACAUUUUAGUGAAAAGUUUGGAAAGUUGAUGUCAGAGAAAUAUGAGAUGUCAAUGAUGUGCGAGCUGAAAUUCUUCCUUGGAUUGCAAGUCAAAGAAUCAAGAAGUACACCAGGGACUUAAUCAGGAAGUUCAAUAUGCAAGAGUGCAAAGGUAUGAGAACCUCCAUGCCUACUAGUGGACAUAUUAAGCUCACUAAGGAUGACAAACCGGUUGAUCAAAGAGUUUAUCAAUCAAUGAUUGGUUCAUUGCUAUAUCUAUGUGUCUCCCGUCCUCACAUCAUGCUGAGUGUCUGCAUGUGUGCCUGAUACCAAGUGGCAUUCAAGAGUAUCAUCUAUUGACUGUUAAAAGAAUCGUGAGAUACCUAAACCAUACACCAAACUUUGGCAUAUGGUAUCCCAAUGUUUCUCCCUUCAAUCUUGUUGGCUAUUCCGAGUCAGACUAUGCCAGAGACAAGGUUGAUAGAAAAUCCACCUCAGGUACAUGUCAAUUUCUCGGAAGAUCUCUUGUGUCUUGGUCAUCCAAGAAACAAAACUCAGUAUAUUUAUCUACUACCGAAGCUGAAUAUAUAGCCGCUGGAUCAUGUUGUGCGCAAUUACUAUGGAUGACUUAAACUCUUAAGGAUUA
Molecule: long non-coding RNA, 20110 nt
Filed under: Hordeum vulgare
Lineage: Eukaryota; Viridiplantae; Streptophyta; Magnoliopsida; Poales; Poaceae
Description: long non-coding RNA (HVUL_LNC019325)
Source: RNAcentral